Molecule: non-coding RNA, 262 nt
Filed under: Butyricicoccus pullicaecorum
Lineage: Bacteria; Bacillati; Bacillota; Clostridia; Eubacteriales; Butyricicoccaceae
Description: T-box sequence
Rfam family: T-box leader
About the family: Uncharged tRNA acts as the effector for transcription antitermination of genes in the T-box leader family.
Source: RNAcentral
AGCAAACCAAUGAGUGAGAGGAGUAACCUCACAGAGUUGCUUGCAAAGAGAGCCGUGGAUGGUGGGAUCACGGUCAGGCACAGUGUGGUGAAUGGACUCACGAGGGCGAGGGUGAAAGGCGUUUGUGCCGAUUAGCUUUCGACGGGAUCUCCACCCGUUACCAAGGGAGCAUGCAUGAUGGUGCAUGGAGCGAGCGGGUAAAUAUUUUUAUUUACCAAUCUGGGUGGUACCGCAGGAGUCAAUUACAGCUCUUGUCCCUGAG